This 440-nucleotide ribosomal RNA is filed under the name uncultured bacterium. Its description in RNAcentral is "partial 16S ribosomal RNA". It matches the Rfam family "Bacterial small subunit ribosomal RNA", at positions 338 to 795 of the family's 1533-position model. The record is from RNAcentral.
CCUACGGGUGGCAGCAGUGGGGAAUAUUGCACAAUGGGGGAAACCCUGAUGCAGCGACGCCGCGUGAGUGAAGAAGUAUUUCGGUACGUAAAGCUCUAUCAGCAGGGAAGAAAAUGACGGUACCUGACUAAGAAGCCCCGGCUACAUACGUGCCACCAGCCCUGGUAAUACGGAGGGAGCAAGCGUUAUCCGGAUUUACUGGGUGUAAAGGGAGCGUGUGCGGCAGCGGAAGUCUGGAGUGAAAUCCCAUGGCUUAAACAUGGAACUGCUUUGGAAACUGUGCAGCUAGAGUGCAGGAGAGGUAAGCGGAAUUCCUAGUGUAGCGGUGAAAUGCGUAGAUAUUAGGAGGAACACCAGUGGCGAAGGCGGCUUACUGGACUGUAACUGACGUUGAGGCUCGAAAGCGUGGGGAGCAAACAGGAUUAGAUACCCCUGUAGUC